UGGCUUAGAGGGUAAAGCAUCUGCCUGCAAUGCAGGAGACCCGGGUUCGAUCCCUGG
Molecule: transfer RNA, 57 nt
Filed under: Bos taurus (domestic cattle)
Lineage: Eukaryota; Metazoa; Chordata; Mammalia; Artiodactyla; Bovidae
Also listed under: 5 other names
Rfam family: tRNA
About the family: Transfer RNA (tRNA) molecules are approximately 80 nucleotides in length. Their secondary structure includes four short double-helical elements and three loops (D, anti-codon, and T loops).
Source: Rfam by way of RNAcentral